RNAcentral lists this ribosomal RNA (494 nucleotides) under uncultured bacterium. RNAcentral's name for it is "partial 16S ribosomal RNA". It matches the Rfam family "Bacterial small subunit ribosomal RNA", at positions 28 to 507 of the family's 1533-position model. The record is from RNAcentral.
GACGAACGCUGGCGGCGUGCUUAACACAUGCAAGUCGAACGGUGAAGCGCCUUCCUUUUUGGUGGGUGUGGAUGAGUGGCGAACGGGUGAGUAACACGUGAGUAACCUGCCCCCUUCUUCUGGAUAACCGCAUGAAAGUGUGGCUAAUACGGGUUAUUCUGGGUCUGUCGCAUGAUGGGUCUGGGAAAGAUAUUGUUUCGGUGGGGGAUGGGCUCGCGGCCUAUCAGCUUGUUGGUGGGGUGAUGGCCUACCAAGGCGGUGACGGGUAGCCGGCCUGAGAGGGUGGACGGUCACACUGGGACUGAGACACGGCCCAGACUCCUACGGGAGGCAGCAGUGGGGAAUAUUGCACAAUGGGCGCAAGCCUGAUGCAGCGACGCCGCGUGAGGGAUGGAGGCCUUCGGGUUGUGAACCUCUUUCGCCAGUGAAGCAGGCCUGCCUCGUUUGUGGGUGGGUUGACGGUAGCUGGAUAAGAAGCGCCGGCUAACUACGUG